This is a non-coding RNA of Saimiri boliviensis boliviensis (Bolivian squirrel monkey), 668 nucleotides long. Lineage: Eukaryota; Metazoa; Chordata; Mammalia; Primates; Cebidae. The record is from RefSeq and is a predicted model, not a curated record.
CAAAAUCUGAGUGCUUCUUAAUGUGCCAGGCACUGUUUUAAGCAGUUGUGGUAGAAAAAUAUCCCUGCUUGUGGACACUACAUUCUAGUGGAGGAGUCAGAUAUAUAUAAUGUUAGCCAGACUACACACCUCUGGAUGGCAGAGAGGGGGACUCAAACAUCUUUGAACUCGCAACAUGGCAACAUUUCUUGGUCCUAAUACUGUCACUGGCAAGGUUGGUGUUUUAAGGAAGAGAUAAUAGUGCACAAACACAUUGGAUGGAUUUUGAAGGAAGACUAAGCAUUUGCCAGCUGGAAGAUAUGAAGACAUUUUAGGCAGAGGGAACCAUUGGCGCCAGGUCAGAGAGCUGUGAAAGGCUGCAUUUUCUGGGAAACCUACAGCUGCCCUGAAGUCUAAUGGAUAAGGCGUUCUGAGGCAGAUGGAUGUGAGGGGGAAAAGAAACUGCAGGGGAGUUCCCCACUUUGUGGAGAGGAAAGAGAGGUUUCCCUAAGGAGGUCAGGAUAGGAUCUGAGUCACGGGGCAGCCAUUUUGGAAGGAAGACAUUUGUCAACCAGGAAGCUGUAAUUCAAAAUGUGGACUUAAGCAAGAGGAAACACCCAGCUCUCUCUUGAAUCCAGGUUUCAAGAAGCACUCACCAGAUAGCUGUGCAUAUCAGAUUGCAGGUAAAU